ACCUAAUGUCUCAAACUUAAUUUUCCCAAAUUACAUGACCAGUUCCUCACACCAAAAAUUUUAGUGCCUGAACCAAAACCCUUAGUGUCUAAACCAAAAUCCUUAGUUCCUAAACCAAAACCCUUCUCAAUCCUUUCUCAAUCGCAUUUGUACCGUUCUCCUCCGUCUCAUCUUUGCUUUGUCUUUGUCUCCUUGCCUCUCGUCUAAACCCAAAACCCUUCUCAAUCGCAUAUGUCUUUGUUUAUGCACCUCUCGUCUGUAUCCUUGCAUCUAUACCGUUCGUCUUCGUCUUCAUCUUCGUCUCGCCUCAACCAAAACCUUUUUCGCCUUCGUCUUGCACGACGCCGUCUUGUGCUCUGACUUCUCUCGCCGUCUUGUGCUCCGACAAUUCUCGCCAUCUUGUGCUCUGACAGCUCGUGUUUGACUUAACCCUCACUAGAAGGUCGCAAACAUAGUGAUGGAUAAAAAGUGGACUACACUUCAUAUACUUAAUUCAGAGUAUCAGAAAGGUGUAAAAUCUCUUUUAGAUUUUGCCUUCACCAAAGGAGAACCUCAAUGCCGCACAAUUUUAUGCCUUGUGCCAAGUGUAUAAAUCGUUGUUGGAGAAGAAGAAAAGUGCGGCACUCCAUUCUUCUACAUCAACCCAUGUUCCUGAAAAAGCAUAAGUAUAUUAGUUUGAUUUACUUAACUAUGAGAUAAUUAAGUUGAUUUAUUGCUAUGAUUGAGUAUCUUGUAGACUUAUAAAUUGUUGGUCUUUAGUGAAAAAGCAUAAGUAUAUUAGUUUGAUUUACUUAA
Molecule: long non-coding RNA, 795 nt
Organism: Cicer arietinum (chickpea)
Lineage: Eukaryota; Viridiplantae; Streptophyta; Magnoliopsida; Fabales; Fabaceae
Source: RefSeq, a predicted model, not a curated record